This 433-nucleotide ribosomal RNA is filed under the name uncultured bacterium. Its description in RNAcentral is "partial 16S ribosomal RNA". It matches the Rfam family "Bacterial small subunit ribosomal RNA", at positions 29 to 507 of the family's 1533-position model. The record is from RNAcentral.
AACGAACGCUGGCGGCAUGCCUAACACAUGCAAGUCGAACGAGACCUUCGGGUCUAGUGGCGCACGGGUGCGUAACGCGUGGGAACCUGCCCUUAGGUUCGGAAUAACUCCCCGAAAGGGGUGCUAAUACCGGAUAAUGUCUUCGGACCAAAGAUUUAUCGCCGUUGGAUGGGCCCGCGUUGGAUUAGCUAGUUGGUAGGGUAAAAGCCUACCAAGGCGACGAUCCAUAGCUGGUCUGAGAGGAUGAUCAGCCACACUGGGACUGAGACACGGCCCAGACUCCUACGGGAGGCAGCAGUGGGGAAUAUUGGACAAUGGGCGAAAGCCUGAUCCAGCAAUGCCGCGUGAGUGAUGAAGGCCUUAGGGUUGUAAAGCUCUUUUACCCGGGAUGAUAAUGACAGUACCGUGAGAAUAAGCUCCGGCUAACUCCGUG